This 468-nucleotide ribosomal RNA is filed under the name uncultured bacterium. RNAcentral describes it as "partial 16S ribosomal RNA". It matches the Rfam family "Bacterial small subunit ribosomal RNA", at positions 28 to 507 of the family's 1533-position model. The record is from RNAcentral.
GACGAACGCUGGCGGCGCGCCUAACACAUGCAAGUCGAACGGAGCUGAGAGAAGCUUGCUUUUCUUAGCUUAGUGGCGAACGGGUGAGUAACGCGUGAGUAACCUGCCCUGGAGUGGGGGACAACAGUUGGAAACGACUGCUAAUACCGCAUAAGCCCACGAUCCGGCAUCGGAUUGAGGGAAAAGGAUUUAUUCGCUUAAGGAUGGACUCGCGUCCAAUUAGCUAGUUGGUGAGGUAACGGCCCACCAAGGCGACGAUUGGUAGCCGGACUGAGAGGUUGAACGGCCACAUUGGGACUGAGACACGGCCCAGACUCCUACGGGAGGCAGCAGUGGGGGAUAUUGCACAAUGGGGGAAACCCUGAUGCAGCGACGCCGCGUGGAGGAAGAAGGUUUUCGGAUUGUAAACUCCUGUCGUUAGGGACGAUAAUGACGGUACCUAACAAGAAAGCACCGGCUAACUACGUG